Molecule: ribosomal RNA, 819 nt
Filed under: Paridris sp. OSUC 372837
Lineage: Eukaryota; Metazoa; Arthropoda; Insecta; Hymenoptera; Scelionidae
Description: partial 28S ribosomal RNA
Rfam family: Eukaryotic large subunit ribosomal RNA
Source: RNAcentral
GUGAAACCGUUUAGGGGUAAACCUGAGAAACCCGAAAGAUCGAAUGAGGAGAUUCACCGUGAGCGGAGUCGGCUUCCAUGUGGUUCGCGAUGUUUGAGGCGGUACUUUAACGGUACUCGUCGACGACACGCGUCCGCUGUGGUAUGUUCGGCAACGUCGACGUGCACUUCUCCUCUAGUAGAACGUCGCGACCCGCUGGGUGUCGGUUUAAGGGCCGUUACGUAGACUGUACCGUCGCUUCGGCGUGCGUGUACAGACGUUCGGUUACCCGACCGGCUGCCCGGCGGUACGCACAAGGUAUCGAGCCGCACUCGAAUGCGUUCAGACCCGUCGCAAGCUUGACCAUUUUUAACCGGAUGCGCGGACCUAGCGCCGUCGCUGGUAAUGGUUGGCUGUUGGCAGGCGGUGUUCUCGAACUGGCUUAAUAAUUGAUACCGGUCAGCGACGCUAUUGCUUUGGGUACUUUCAGGACCCGUCUUGAAACACGGACCAAGGAGUCUAACAUGUGCGCGAGUCAUUGGGAAUUAUAAAACCUAAAGGCGCAUUGAAAGAGAAGAUCGGCUUUGGCCGAUCGAGGGAGGAUGGGCUGACGUUUAUAUGUCGCUCCGCACUCCCGGGGCGUCUCGUUGUCACCUUCACGGGCGACUUGAGGCGCACCAAGAGCGUACACGUUGGGACCCGAAAGAUGGUGAACUAUGCCUGGUCAGGAUGAAGUCAGGGGAAACCCUGAUGGAGGUCCGUAGCGAUUCUGACGUGCAAAUCGAUCGUCGGAACUGGGUAUAGGGGCGAAAGACUAAUCGAACCAUCUAGUAGCUGGUU